RNAcentral lists this ribosomal RNA (394 nucleotides) under Climacostomum virens. RNAcentral describes it as "partial Eukaryotic large subunit ribosomal RNA". It matches the Rfam family "Eukaryotic large subunit ribosomal RNA", at positions 2936 to 3339 of the family's 3401-position model. The record is from RNAcentral. Lineage: Eukaryota; Ciliophora; Heterotrichea; Heterotrichida; Climacostomidae.
CCCGCCAAUAGGGAACGUGAGCUGGGUUUAGACCGUCGUGAGACAGGUUAGUUUUAUCCUACUGAAGUUUUUUCCGAGAUAGCAGUCAUGAUUGGUACGAGAGGACUGUCAUGUCCGGACAUUUGGUUACGCAUCUUUUCGAAAGAAAACGAUGCAAAGCUAAGUCCGUGGGCUAAUGGUUGAAAGCCUCUAAACCAGAAUCCCGCCUGUAUUCGGAGAUAUUCGAUGGCGCAAUUGUUACAUGAGUACGAAUAGGCCGAAAGGUUUAGACCAUUAAUUGCUGCGCACAAAAAUCAAAUGAAUAUAUUUCUUUUUUGAGUAAGCAGAAUAAUAAUUUCAGAUAAUUGUGUCAUCAAAACCCUUAUAGUCGAUUUGGUGUACACCAGCUGCUGUG